RNAcentral lists this ribosomal RNA (432 nucleotides) under uncultured bacterium. RNAcentral's name for it is "partial 16S ribosomal RNA". It matches the Rfam family "Bacterial small subunit ribosomal RNA", at positions 29 to 507 of the family's 1533-position model. The record is from RNAcentral.
AACGAACGCUGGCGGCAUGCCUAACACAUGCCAGUCGAACGAGACCUUCGGGUCUAGUGGCGCACGGGUGCGUAGCGCGUGGGAACCUGCCCUUAGGUUCGGAAUAACUCCCCGAAAGGGGUGCUAAUACCGGAUAAUGUCUUCGGACCAAAGAUUUAUCGCCUUUGGAUGGGCCCGCGUUGGAUUAGCUAGUUGGUAGGGUAAAAGCCUACCAAGGCGACGAUCCAUAGCUGGUCUGAGAGGAUGAUCAGCCACACUGGGACUGAGACACGGCCCAGACUCCUACGGGAGGCAGCAGUGGGGAAUAUUGGACAAUGGGCGAAAGCCUGAUCCAGCAAUGCCGCGUGAGUGAUGAAGGCCUUAGGGUUGUAAAGCUCUUUUACCCGGGAUGAUAAUGACAGUACCGGGAGAAUAAGCUCCGCUAACUCCGUG